This 383-nucleotide unclassified non-coding RNA is filed under the name Hevea brasiliensis (rubber tree). Lineage: Eukaryota; Viridiplantae; Streptophyta; Magnoliopsida; Malpighiales; Euphorbiaceae. The record is from RNAcentral.
GUGGACGAUCCGUGAAACCUAGAUCUGUUAGAUCUAAGAGUAGUUAGAUUUGAGAGUAGAGGACCAGAUUUGUUUCUUGUGUUAAAAAUCUGAAUCCUUUGGUUUGUUUAUUUCCUUUGUUACUUAAUGCUUUAUUUGGAUGAUCUAUUUAUUUUUCCUCUAUUGCGUUAUUUAUUUCCUUUGGUUGCUUUGAUUUCAACUCAAGAUCUUCUAAUACUGAAAGGAAAACAAUGAAAGCUCUAGGAAGGAAUUAUCACAAUUAGAAGAUAUAUAGCAGGCCUUAAAUUUCGUGUUGUUAAUGUUUAUGUUUUAAUGAGUAGAAGAAAUGGAACUUUAAUUUUUGGAAUUAGCAGCAAAUUCAUUGCGAGAGAGAGAGAGAGAGA